GUGUUAGCUGCCCCAGCACAUACACUAAGAUUGGCCCAUAUAGAGAAGAUUAGCGUGGCCUCUGUGUAAGGAAAACCCGAAAGUCCGUGAAGCAUUCCUAAUUAAA
Pipistrellus kuhlii (Kuhl's pipistrelle) is the source of this 106-nucleotide small nuclear RNA. The record is from RefSeq and is a predicted model, not a curated record. NCBI's taxonomy places the organism in Eukaryota, Metazoa, Chordata, Mammalia, Chiroptera, Vespertilionidae.